GGGUCAGUAGGUUGGUCGUGCCACCGGUACGUACUGGUCUCACUGAUUCCUCUUUCCUGAAGAACCGUAAUGCCAUUAAUUUGGUGUUGCGGGGAAACAGGACUGUUACUUUGAAUAAAUUAGAGUGUUUAAAGCAAGCUAACGCUUGAAUACAUUAGCAUGGAAUAAUGAAAUAGGACGAUCGAUCCUAUUUUGUUGGUUUCUAGGAUUGACGUA
RNAcentral lists this ribosomal RNA (216 nucleotides) under Glomeromycotina sp. Its description in RNAcentral is "partial small subunit ribosomal RNA". The stretch from base 40 to 216 matches the Rfam family "Eukaryotic small subunit ribosomal RNA", at positions 686 to 864 of the family's 1831-position model. The record is from RNAcentral. Lineage: Eukaryota; Fungi; Glomeromycota.